AAAGUCGUAACAAGGUUUCCGUAGGUGAACCUGCGGAAGGAUCAUUAACAUGUUGGAGUGGCCUUCGGGCCCGUCCUCCAUAAACCCACCUCUGUGUACCUUUUCCUGUUGCUUCCGCGGGACAUCGGGGUUCGCCCCGGACGUCGGCGAGGAGGCUCUCCUUCUGGGAGGGUCAUUCCGAGCCCGGCGGAGCGCCCGCGGGAGGUUAAUCAGAAACCCAUGUGCAAUAAUAUAGCUUCUGUCUGAAUGAAUAAUAAUAAAAGUUAAAACUUUCAACAACGGAUCUCUUGGUUCUC
This 296-nucleotide unclassified non-coding RNA is filed under the name Ascomycota sp. RNAcentral describes it as "partial contains small subunit ribosomal RNA, internal transcribed spacer 1, and 5.8S ribosomal RNA". The stretch from base 1 to 47 matches the Rfam family "Eukaryotic small subunit ribosomal RNA", at positions 1785 to 1831 of the family's 1831-position model. The record is from RNAcentral. Lineage: Eukaryota; Fungi; Ascomycota.